GAUGAACGCUGGUGGCGUGCCUAAUACAUGCAAGUCGAGCGAACAGAUGAGGAGCUUGCUCCUCUGACGUUAGCGGCGGACGGGUGAGUAACACGUGGAUAACCUACCUAUAAGACUGGGAUAACUUCGGGAAACCGGAGCUAAUACCGGAUAAUAUAUUGAACCGCAUGGUUCAAUAAUGAAAGACGGUUUUGCUGUCACUUAUAGAUGGAUCCGCGCCGCAUUAGCUAGUUGGUAAGGUAACGGCUUACCAAGGCAACGAUGCGUAGCCGACCUGAGAGGGUGAUCGGCCACACUGGAACUGAGACACGGUCCAGACUCCUACGGGAGGCAGCAGUAGGGAAUCUUCCGCAAUGGGCGAAAGCCUGACGGAGCAACGCCGCGUGAGUGAUGAAGGUCUUCGGAUCGUAAAACUCUGUUAUUAGGGAAGAACAAAUGUGUAAGUAACUAUGCACGUCUUGACGGUACCUAAUCAGAAAGCCACGGCUAACUACGUG
This 497-nucleotide ribosomal RNA is filed under the name uncultured bacterium. Its description in RNAcentral is "partial 16S ribosomal RNA". It matches the Rfam family "Bacterial small subunit ribosomal RNA", at positions 28 to 507 of the family's 1533-position model. The record is from RNAcentral.